CUGCUCAUUCUUUCUACAGCCCUUUCUCCGAUUCUCCCUCUCUCCAUCUGUUACGGCGACGAUGUCGCCUCCGGCGUGCGGCAGCUGCGCAGCCUCGCACCACAACUCACGCAUAUCUCACCUCUCAUCCUUCGUUGUUCACCUCUUCCAGCCGCCGUGAAGCUCCGUCACCGUCUCAGCAUCAUCUCCGAAACUCACCACCACCUUUCGCCGACGACCAACCAGCCUCACACCUUACUCCUGCUGUCGCCGCGACUCCGUCGGGGUUGCCGACGCGAGUUCC
RNAcentral lists this long non-coding RNA (283 nucleotides) under Daucus carota (carrot). Its description in RNAcentral is "long non-coding RNA (DCAR_LNC006772)". The record is from RNAcentral. Lineage: Eukaryota; Viridiplantae; Streptophyta; Magnoliopsida; Apiales; Apiaceae.